UAGUCAUGAAAAUAAAGAAAAUGCAUUGAAUGACAAGGUGUGUCCAAACUUUUGGCCUGUACUGUAUCAAGAAUCCACUUGAAGACCAAGUCUGGCAGUUGUGUCUGAAGCUACGAGAGAUUGUCGAACUGGUGAAGUGUAAUGGAAGACAUGGAAGAAACAGUAAAAGGUGCCCUCCCCUAUCUGGAAAAUGAGUCAUUGAACAAGAUUUUACUAGACUUGACAACCAUGGGUGUGAGAACAGCUGAGGACCUGGAAUUCAUAAAUGCCACUUAUUUGAGCCACAUCCUGCCACCAGUAGACUGCAGGAAACUAAUCCACACAUUCAAGAAAGCUGCACAAGACAACACUCAGCCAAGGCCAGAAGAAAUUAUUUUGACACUUGUACCUUGCACUGACACAGCACCUAAUUCAGAGCCUUUAUUGGCUGCUACAACAAGCCCUGUUCCUGUCCAGAAUAGCACAUGGGUGUCUACAUUUGCCGUGCCAUGGGAGAAAACGCGACCAAGUUUGAGAAGGUGUCUUGCUGAGAAGGAGAGACCAAAAAGAGAAGAUAGGCUUCAUAUGGUGCGAGUCAUCGCAGACAACAUCAAACAGAUUCUUCGUCAGGAUAAAUCUGGAACACAGCAAGUGUGCUGCAAAGAUGCAGGUGAGCCGAAGGACUGGAAUGACGGUCCAGAGGAAGAACGAGUCCCUCAACCCACACGUCGCUUCCUUCAUAAGGGUCUUCAUCGAUUAUGAUUGUAAGAACUGAUACCAGGAAGAAGACUUACACCCACGCGAACAAGUGAGAGACCAGCCCACUACCCUGAUGUGUACGCACAAGAAAUGCUGGCUAUGAUCAGAGCUACCUGAACAGGCAUGUUUUUCUUUUUUUAAAAAAUCUUUUUCUUACGUAUUUGGCUCUUUUUUACUUGUCUCUUUUGGUUUUAAACAAAGAUUAUUUUAUCUGUGUCCUUAAUAUCCCCUGAUAGAGGAGUUCCAAGAAGUUUGCACAAUGUUAUGUCCCAAAUGUUCAGUGGACUUUGUGAAGAAUUAUCAAAGCUUGAAAUUCCAGAUGAAAAAGUUUCUAAUGUUAUUGAUGGAUUGUCAAAAGAAAACUUAUUGAAAAUGUAUAAUGAUGGCGUGUUCAGAUCAGAUUCAGCCUGGAAGACAUAUUGUGUUCACAUGUUUCAUUCAUUGUAUUGUUUGUAAUCUUUGGCAUUAACAAGAAUAAAUGCAUUUUUGGUGACUAAAUGUGUCUUGAUUUUACAGUAGGCAAU
Molecule: long non-coding RNA, 1262 nt
Organism: Epinephelus lanceolatus (giant grouper)
Lineage: Eukaryota; Metazoa; Chordata; Actinopteri; Perciformes; Serranidae
Source: RefSeq, a predicted model, not a curated record